AUGGGAUGGGCAUGGGCAGCCCUCCGGUCCGGAGCUCCAAGGUGGCGCGCCCAAAAUUCAUCGUCCUCGUCCGGCCGGGCCGGCUCGAUCGGCCUCAUCAUUCGGUGGCGGCCAUAUUCGACCGCUCCCAGUCCCAGCCACGGCGGGGAGGAGGAUGGGGAUGAGGCCAGGCAAGAGAUGCUGAACAGAUGGGCACACCGCGCCGCACAGACAACUUUCAGGGACUACCUCCAUGCCAAGCGCGGCUUGUGCCUCACUGACGCCAAGCAUAUCAGCGAGCGAUCGCCCGUCUUCCUCAGCGAGCUGCUGGAGAAGGUGAACAAGGCGGUGAUGAAGGCUGCUGAUCAGGGUGGGGAGGGGGCGAGAUUCAGGUCGAAAGUGAAGAAGAGGGUCAGCAGGGCGCUGGUGCGAUUGCUCCACCGGCGCCCUGUCAACGAGUUCAGGCCCUUCUUUGAGAGCAUCGGCAUCAAGCCGAGCGAGUGCGAUUCCCUCUUGCCGCAGGAUCUCACAUUCCUCAUGGAUGCCGGGGUGCUGCUCGAGAGCUACCGUGCACUAUGCAGUUAUGGCAUUGCGCAUGACAAGAUUGGAAAGAUAUACCAGAAGGCGGCGGAGGUGUUUAGUCUUGGCCAGGGCGUUCUUGAGUCUAAGCUCGAGGCCCUUGAGGGUCUAGGCUUCAGUAAGGCCAGUGUUACCAAAAUAGUGAUCUCUACUCCUACCGUAUUGGUUCAUGACCCGGCUGUGGAACUGAAGACGAUCUUGCAGUGGCUAGACGACAUUGGGAUUCAGCGAGACUGGAUCGGCCAGUUCUUCACUGAAUAUCAGUCCUAUAAUUGGCAAAAGAUCGUCGAAGCUCUUCAGUUCUUGAGUGAUUUGGGGUUCACCAAGGAUGAUAUUGGUAAAGCGGUGAGGAAUCAUCCAGAUUUGUUGUUGGAAUGGUCUGGUGAGAUGCUAUGA
RNAcentral lists this ribosomal RNA (954 nucleotides) under Triticum aestivum (bread wheat). Its description in RNAcentral is "partial small subunit ribosomal RNA". Lineage: Eukaryota; Viridiplantae; Streptophyta; Magnoliopsida; Poales; Poaceae. The record is from RNAcentral.